RNAcentral lists this transfer RNA (74 nucleotides) under Botrimarina hoheduenensis. RNAcentral's name for it is "Planctomycetes bacterium Pla111 tRNA-Lys". It matches the Rfam family "tRNA". From Rfam's summary of the family: Transfer RNA (tRNA) molecules are approximately 80 nucleotides in length. Their secondary structure includes four short double-helical elements and three loops (D, anti-codon, and T loops). Lineage: Bacteria; Pseudomonadati; Planctomycetota; Planctomycetia; Pirellulales; Lacipirellulaceae. The record is from RNAcentral.
GCUCCCUUAGCUCAAUCGGCAGAGCAACUGACUCUUAAUCAGUGGGUUCUUGGUUCGAGUCCAAGAGGGAGCAC